Long non-coding RNA from Bos taurus (domestic cattle), 2195 nucleotides. Lineage: Eukaryota; Metazoa; Chordata; Mammalia; Artiodactyla; Bovidae. The record is from Ensembl.
AGGGCCGGUUGCACCACCCCUGUGGCUCUCUCCGCCAGUUAACGGCCGGAUGGGUCAAGGUCGGGCUGCAGCGACGCUGCCUCACUCCUUGCUGUGCUGCACUGCCAGCCCCACCCCUCACCGCCCUUGUCGCUGGGAGGGUGGCCCCUCGCUGCGGUCUCCGCAGCGCUGUUCAGCCUCUCCACUUGGGACGGACGGCAGCACAGUGCUGCAGGGCAGACCCAGGUGACCUGGCGUCUCCUCCCGAGUCAGCUCGGACAGAACGAGCAGGCGAUUUACUGUCGUGUUCAGUUUCCAGCAAGACAGCCUGUGCUGCAGAAACCAGCUUCAAAGGGAUAGAGCGACCCAGGGAAAAUGAUGAUCCGAAGGCUGAUGUGACAGGUCAUCGGAAGGACAGUUGGCAGUGGAGACACUGGCUUUCCCUAUGCCUGAGACACACGCAGGUCAGGGGCUUUCCAGGCUGCUGCAGGAACUGGAUUCCAAAACUGUCUUCAGUGGCCCCACUAUUAUGUGACUACCUUAGACAAAGCCCAGCUGAGCCUUUUUGGGAGAAAAAGCAUUCUGAAGCCACAGAGACCCUAAAACACUUCCUGGCAAAGGCCCUGGCCUUGGGGCAUCCCAGUAUUAUUUACCCUUUUAUUCUCUUUGCACGUGUAAACAGAGACGCUACACUAGGAGUUUUAACCCAGUGACAGUGCGGUUCCUACCGAGCAACCAGACGUCGCCACCAGGAGCCGGCUUCAGCAGCCAAGGACUGCUGCGUCCAACCACAGAAGGGACGGUCUCAGGUCACACUCUCACCAUCGCGGCCUCCCACUCCGUGAAGGCCUUUCUAAGCUCUCAUCACACACAUUACCCAAGCCCACUGCCUUCUCCUGAGGUGGUCUUGCUCUCACCAAAACUCUCCACAGGUGUAACAAACAGCCCAGCACCGGCUCCCAGAAAGCAGCAGACAAUGAAAACCCUUUGUCUUCUGGGACUGACCUUCAAGGAAGCCCGACGGACAAUUCUGAUUUUAGGUUACUCACUCACUGUGGUUCAUGUCUGAGAGAACCUCGUGGAGGGGCGGGCUGCACCAUUUGUUUCUCCCGUGCUGUCCCGGAAAACAGAGUUUUGUCUGAAAUCUCCUCCUUCAACAGGCUGAGGUAACAGGACUGAUAAGAACCUGCCAGUGUGCACAGGAAGUCUGCUGAUACUGACAGAUGCCACCGCCUUCUGGGGGCACAGGACGUCCAGCAUCCUGAGGGAGCCUGUUCACAACAGUGUUCAGCAUCCUGAGAGCCUGUUCACAACGGUAAACGUGAGCAGCGUUGCUGGAGGCGGCUCUGCCUCCAGGGCACUUGCUGCUGUGGUGGCAUCAAAGGCCCACUCUGCAGCAGUGACCACGUGGCCACGACCACACUGGCCUCCCAGCAGCUGUCCUGACAGGUGGCUCAGGGGCAGCACCCGAAGAAGGACCUGGACACACGGGGAAGGCUGAACUCAAGUCAAAGGCUGGGAAUACGCCCAGACAGGAGGCCUCUCCUUCUGCGUGAGCCUCGGUAUCCUCAUGAGCUACCUCACUGGCACCCAGGCACGAGACCUCCUGGCACCACGGGGCAGUGGAUGGACAACGCUGCAGCCGUCAGCUGGCAGAGUCCAGCUGGCCCGGCAGAGUCCGCGGGCUCGGCAGGGAGACGACAGGAAGGAGCUGUGCUCUGGGCCCAGCCUCCGCUGUGCAGGCGCGACCUCCCUGCGCCCACGUGCCUGCGUCUUGUCAUCACGGAAGAGCAUGACCAUCACAGACCUCGGUGCCAGUCUUGUGACUAGCAGGGAUGUCCUACCUUACCUUUCAGAGCAGCCUCCCAGGCUGUUCUCAGUGAGGCCCCCAAGUUUAAGACUCAGCUCACACCUCCGGUUGCGGGUUCUUCAGACGCCAGCAGCAGAGACCCUAAUGAAUGAGUAGUUUUACAUUUCUUAUGGCACAGAGUUUUACAGCCACAUUUCUAAUACAGUGCUGGAAACACGGCUACACAAAAAGACACUUCCCUGUGAUGGGUGGAACCCAGUCUCUCCAACUACGAGAGGAACACUAACACCUCCUUAAUUUUAAACAACUCACCUUAAGCCUACCUACACACGUUUGGUGCACUUAUGACAUUCCUGACUUGUUUCAAUGUUUCUGGGCUAUGUGGUUUGUAAGAGAUUUUUCAAAU